Molecule: ribosomal RNA, 400 nt
Filed under: uncultured bacterium
Lineage: Bacteria
Description: bacterial SSU rRNA
Rfam family: Bacterial small subunit ribosomal RNA
Source: RNAcentral
AUUGAACGCUGGCGGCAUGCCUUACACAUGCAAGUCGAACGGCAGCACGGACUUCGGUCUGGUGGCGAGUGGCGAACGGGUGAGUAAUGUCUGGGAAACUGCCUGAUGGAGGGGGAUAACUACUGGAAACGGUAGCUAAUACCGCAUAACGUCGCAAGACCAAAGUGGGGGACCUUCGGGCCUCAUGCCAUCAGAUGUGCCCAGAUGGGAUUAGCUAGUAGGUGGGGUAACGGCUCACCUAGGCGACGAUCCCUAGCUGGUCUGAGAGGAUGACCAGCCACACUGGAACUGAGACACGGUCCAGACUCCUACGGGAGGCAGCAGUGGGGAAUAUUGCACAAUGGGCGCAAGCCUGAUGCAGCCAUGCCGCGUGUGUGAAGAAGGCCUUCGGGUUGUAAGC